GGGAUGCCUUUACCCAUGCCAAGUCGAACGGCAGCACGGGUGCUUGCACCUGGGUGGCGAGUGGCGAACGGGUGAGUAAUACAUCGGAACAUGUCCUGUAGUGGGGGAUAGCCCGGCGAAAGCCGGAUUAAUACCGCAUACGAUCUACGGAAGAAAGCGGGGGACCUUCGGGCCUCGCGCUAUAGGGUUGGCCGAUGGCUGAUUAGCUAGUUGGUGGGGUAAAGGCCUACCAAGGCGACGAUCAGUAGCUGGUCUGAGAGGACGACCAGCCACACUGGGACUGAGACACGGCCCAGACUCCUACGGGAGGCAGCAGUGGGGAAUUUUGGACAAUGGGCGAAAGCCUGAUCCAGCAAUGCCGCGUGUGUGAAGAAGGCCUUCGGGUUGUAAAGCACUUUUGUCCGGAAAGAAAUCCUGAGGGCUAAUAUCCUUCGGGGAUGACGGUACCGGAAGAAUAACCACCGGCUAACUACGUGCCAGCAGCCGCGGUAAUACGUAGGGUGCGAGCGUUAAUCGGAAUUACUGGGCGUAAAGCGUGCGCGGGCGGUUUGCUAAGACCGAUGUGAACUCGCCGG
This 575-nucleotide ribosomal RNA is filed under the name Burkholderia glumae. RNAcentral's name for it is "bacterial SSU rRNA". It matches the Rfam family "Bacterial small subunit ribosomal RNA", at positions 41 to 606 of the family's 1533-position model. Lineage: Bacteria; Pseudomonadati; Pseudomonadota; Betaproteobacteria; Burkholderiales; Burkholderiaceae. The record is from RNAcentral.